Molecule: unclassified non-coding RNA, 396 nt
Filed under: Hevea brasiliensis (rubber tree)
Lineage: Eukaryota; Viridiplantae; Streptophyta; Magnoliopsida; Malpighiales; Euphorbiaceae
Source: RNAcentral
GUUGGUUGUGCUAAAGUAUAUUAUAAUUUUUCCUUUCAAAAAUUAUGUAUUUGUUUAUGCGUGAAAUUGAUUUUACUCUAUUUAUAUAUGUCAAAAGUAAAUAUGACAUUUUUCGCACGUUGAAGUUGAUUGCUCAAUAAACACCCACUUACACCAUUUUGCCCAUUCUCCCACUACUCUGAUCUCAUGCUCAUCGUAUUCAGUAGAUAUUUUUAGACAUUAAACAUUUAUAAUUGUACAAUAAAUAAUAUCCACUUGUAAGAGCAAUUAUUUAAUUGGUCUAGUUUUACAUAAUUAAUACCCAUUGAAUGUUGAUAUUCUUUUAACUUGAGUUAUGGAUUUGAUCAUUUAAUUUAACAUUUUAUAUAUAUUAAUUAAUUGAUCUAAAAAUAUUGA